GCACUUGCUUUAACAGAACAUAUAUGAAGAUUGGAAUGACACAGAGAUUAUCAUGUCCCCUGCCUAAAGAUGACAUGCAAAUGCAUAAAGCAUUACAUAUUUUU
Molecule: small nuclear RNA, 104 nt
Filed under: Castor canadensis (American beaver)
Lineage: Eukaryota; Metazoa; Chordata; Mammalia; Rodentia; Castoridae
Source: RNAcentral